UACGUAGGGUGCGAGCGUUACUCGGAAUUACUGGGCGUAAAGCGUGCGCAGGCGGUUUUUUAAGCCGGCUGUGAAAUCCCCAGGCUAAACCUGGGAACUGCGUCCGAUACUGGCAGGCUUGAAUCCGGGAGAGGGAUGUGGAAUUCCAGGUGUAGCGGUGAAAUGCGUAGAUAUCUGGAGGAACACCGGUGGCGAAGGCGGCAUCCUGGACCGGCAUUGACGCUGAGGCGCGAAAGCUAGGGGAGCAAACGGG
RNAcentral lists this ribosomal RNA (253 nucleotides) under uncultured bacterium. Its description in RNAcentral is "partial 16S ribosomal RNA". It matches the Rfam family "Bacterial small subunit ribosomal RNA", at positions 524 to 776 of the family's 1533-position model. The record is from RNAcentral.